CUUCGGAGGUACUCGAGUGGCGAACGGGUGAGUAACACGUGGGUGAUCUCCCCUGCACUCUGGGAUAAGCCUGGGAAACUGGGUCUAAUACCGGAUAGGACCAUGCUUUAGUGUGUGUGGUGGAAAGUUUUUUCGGUGUAGGAUGAGCCCGCGGCCUAUCAGCUUGUUGGUGGGGUAAUGGCCUACCAAGGCGGCGACGGGUAGCCGGACUGAGAGGUUGGUCGGCCACAUUGGGACUGAGAUACGGCCCAG
RNAcentral lists this ribosomal RNA (252 nucleotides) under uncultured Actinomycetales bacterium. RNAcentral's name for it is "partial 16S ribosomal RNA". It matches the Rfam family "Bacterial small subunit ribosomal RNA", at positions 78 to 334 of the family's 1533-position model. The record is from RNAcentral. Lineage: Bacteria; Bacillati; Actinomycetota; Actinomycetes; Actinomycetales.